RNAcentral lists this ribosomal RNA (192 nucleotides) under Triticum aestivum (bread wheat). Its description in RNAcentral is "partial small subunit ribosomal RNA". Lineage: Eukaryota; Viridiplantae; Streptophyta; Magnoliopsida; Poales; Poaceae. The record is from RNAcentral.
AUGCAAUGUCCGUCUUUAAAAUUCCUAAAAAAAUAUGCAAAGGAAUCAUUGACGCGAUGUCGCAUUUUUGGUGGGGUGACGAAGACAAUCAGAAGAGAAUGCAUUGGAUGGCAUGGUGGAAGAUGUGUGUACCAAAAGACCAAGGAGGAAUGGGUUUUUGAGACAUACAUUGUUUUAAUUUGGCCUUGUUAG